GGCCAAGAGGACCAAGAGAAACAAAGUGGAGCAGAUCACUGAUGCAGGUCAUAAAUGUCCCUCUACAUCUGUGGAAUUCUCUGGGAUGGCAGUUCAGGGGACAUCUCACCAGGGACAAUCUAAUGAGAAGAUCCUAAGUGAGUGUGUCUCCAGGGCCUGUCAGACCAGGGCUCUUGACCUCCCGCCAAUCGAUCCGGAUGCUUUCAACCCGAUUAUCAUCCGGUUUCUGGAAAAACUUACUGAGGAGCAAUGGAGGCAGUUAAGCAUUGGCAGGAUGGACCCUGUGAUGAGGGCAUUGCUUGCAGAGAUGUGCCUGGAGAUUGUGCGGUUUGUAUCUGAGGCCAUCCUGGAGGUCAUCAUCCCUGCAAUUUUCCGUUUUGUACGGAUAUACAGCCAUGUGUCUCCAGUAUCCAGCAAGUCUCUGACAGAAUCAGAGAGAUCCUCUAGCACAAACCUGAAGGUUCGCAAGAGAGGCAGCAGCAAAUCCUCAAGGUGUUGCACGGCCAAAUCAAGCUCCUCACGUAAUGGGUCUCAGACAGUGUUGUCAAAUACUCAGGGAGAUGGUGAGUCGAUAUCAUCUGAGCCACUCAGUGACUUUUUUGGGAUCACUGAGGACAGUCUCCUCACUGGUGUCCAGGAUUCCUUCAAAGAGUCGCUGAACAAUGUCCUCUGUAUCCAAAGAGAGGACCAGGUAGACACUCAAAGUCUAUCCCGGGUUAUUGUUGGAGAAGUGUCAAAGAAGGUCAAUUCCAUAAUCUCUGUGGCCAUCCAAACUCCCAUCUGUGGCCGAAUGUCCCCUGUUAUUUUUGCCAGUGGUGGUGUCUCCAGAACCAAGGUUGUUGAGGAGAUGGUGUCUGGCGUUUCCAACAUACUUCAGAUGUAUAUUAAUGGGAAGAGUGUUGAGCAGAUUGUUGUUCUCAGAGAGGAUGGUGUUGAGGUGGAUAUGACACAUUUAACAGGACAGGUCAUGACAGCCCUCAGUGGCACUAUUUUGAACUUCAGCAAUAAGGAAGAAAAUGACCCCGACAAGAGGGAACUGCUUUGUGUUGUUGCUGACCAUAUGAAGAUGCUUGAAGCUUGUAAAAGUCCUGAGGAGAUGCUAAAACAAGGAGAGAGCAACCUCAAUAUCAAAGGUGCCAAAUCUAGUCUUCGUCUGUCAACACAAAGUAUGGAUAGACUACUCACUGAGGAGUUUCAGACCAAGGCCACUGAAUCGAUCCGGGAGAUUGUUAAAAGAUUCAGGGGUUGUACAUCAUGUUGUUCUGGCACUACAUCAUCUUGUCCAACUCCUCGGAUAGGUGAGAUCAGUGACCUUAUGAUUGACCCUGAGGCCUCUGAGUUGGUAAGUACCUUUGUUUCAGACAUGGACAAUCUUACCCAGUCUAUCAGGGCAUCCUGCUCUCCUGCACAGAGUGAGCAGAUCCUUCUUGAAAACCAUCAGAAUAAGAUCUGGUCUUACACUGUUGGCUGUUACUACGACAUGAAAAAUACGCUGAAGAGGAUUCUUACCUGUCCAGAAAAAGGGUAUCUCGCAAGUACAUUUGUGGAGAGCACAAAAGAUUAUUUCACAAUGGUUCCAACUUUGUGCCUAGACAUCGGUCAUUCCAGUAAUGGUGAGGCUGACACAUCGGACUCCAUUUCUUGUAAACCACUUUUAAUAACCCCCUCAUCUAUGAAUGAACAAAAAGGACAAAGUGAGACCCCAAAACCUCUCUUGGCUCUCAAAAAGUAUUUGCAAGACCAUGUCCUCCU
RNAcentral lists this long non-coding RNA (1752 nucleotides) under Oncorhynchus kisutch (coho salmon). RNAcentral describes it as "lncRNA (ENSOKIG00005007719.1)". Lineage: Eukaryota; Metazoa; Chordata; Actinopteri; Salmoniformes; Salmonidae. The record is from RNAcentral.